AGACGGAGAGGGAGGGUGAACAAGAGGGGAACGGAAGAGGAUGGCUUUUGCCUUUUCUGGUAGCUACAUUGAACGAGAGAAGCUCUUUGUGUUGGAAGUGGUGCUGAGACAGAAACGGGGAGAGAGCGACUGGAAGGCUGGAAUGGUGUGAGAGCACAGAAGUCGUCUCCUCCAGGGCUUUUCGUUAUUGUAGUAAGGGCCACACCUCCAGGACUGAACCAUGGAUGACGACUUUGAGUGGCGCAGGGAGCAGAGGAGACAGAAAAGAGAGGAGAUGCGGCUGGAAGCAGAAAGGCUGGCUUACCGCCGGACUGAGGAGGAUGAGGAAGAGGCAGCUCGUGAGCGUCGACGACGGGCACGCCAAGAGCGUAUGCGAAGCAAGGAGGGCGAGGAGGUCGCUAACCCAGCCGAGAGUGUGGGGCUGAAUAGCCACAGUAUCACAGUAACUGAGACGAUCUCAAGCCGGGCCGGUGAGGGAGAUGAUGAGGAGCAGGCCCUGCUCGAGCGCCUGGCCAAGCGGGAGGAGCGCAGGCAGAGGAGAAUGAAGGAGGCUCUUGACAGGCAGAAACAGCUGGAGUCCACGGAUGCUCCAUCCUACAGCUCCUACAGUGUGGAGAGCUCCUAUACCGCCUCUUACCAAGCAGUCAACAACCAGGAGGAGGAGCCGGCAUUCAACAGCAAGGAGGAAGUGAAAGAGGAGGUGGAGAUCGUUCCACAGAAAGGGGUGGAGGAGGAGAAGCCGUGCAGGCCUUCCUUGAGGGAGCAGGAAUCUACUGAGGAAAAGGCUAAAAUAGAUGAUGAGGGCGGUACAGGUCAGGAUGCCGUGCGUCCGAGUGAAAAAUGCAAGCCUUUAAAUGAAGACCUAACUGAUUCUACAAUCAUUUCAAAGCAGGAAGUGGAGGAGGAUGCAGCACAAGUCGAUGAGGAUGUAGAGGAGAAUGAGUUAGAGAUGGAGGAUGAGGACGCAGGGAGGAAGAGCAAGCAGCAGAACGGGGGAGUUUAUGAGGACAGCAAGCACAAAAAGGUGGAGAGAACCCAAAGCCGUGGCAGCGUGCACUCUUCUGAGGGUCUGGCAGCAGAGGAAGGGGACGACGGGGAGCAAACACGCCUGGAGGCUGAGAGGAAGCUGGAGGAGCUGAAGAGGAGGAGAGACGAGACGGAGAACGAGGAGUUUGAGAGGAUGAAACACAAGCAGCAGGAGGCUGAGGCCGAGCUGGAGGAGCUGAAAAGAAAGCGGGAGGAAAGGAGGAAGGUGCUGGAAGAGGAAGAGAGGCUGAAGAAGCAAGAGGAGGCUGACAGGAAGGCAAGAGAGGAGGAGGAGAAGAGGAGGAUGAAGGAGGAAAUAGAGAGGAGAAGAGCGGAGGCGGCUGAACGGAGACAGAAGGUCGGAGAGGAGAUUGACGGAGAAGCCAGCAAGCCCUUUAAGUGCGUGAGCCCCCGAGGAUCCUCUCUGAAGAUUGGUGAAAGGGCAGAAUUCCUCAACAGGUCAGCGCAGAAGAGCGCCGUGAAGACGUCUCACUCUCCCGUUGUGUCCAAGAUUGAUAACCGAUUGGAGCAGUACACCACGGCUGUGCAGAGUAAUAAAGAGGUGCGCUCGCCACGUGUGGCUGCGAUGGACCUACCCGUGGUUUCUGAUGGCGUGCGGAACAUUAAGAGCAUGUGGGAGAAGGGCAACGUUUUCAGCUCCACCAUCAGCACACCCUCCAGCAACAAGGAUGCAGCUGGAAUAAAGGUGGGCGUUGCAGGUCGCAUCAACGAUUGGCUGAAUAAAACACCAGAGACGAGCAAAACGCCAGGAGGAAGACCUGUGGACCUGAAACCUGGUGAUGUAACUGGCAAGCGUAAUCUAUGGGAAAACAAAAGCUCCUCUGCUGCCAAGACUUCUUCCUGCUAGUUGCCUUCAGAUUUGGCUCCUUGAGGAGGUGACGAGCAGAGGAGAUUGCAAAUCUGUUGCCAAUGGAAUGGGUCAUUAACCUUUCCAAGAAGCCACAGCAGCAGGGACCAAGUGAAAGUACCAUAUUCUUUCCACAUGCAUGUACUUGUACCAAAAAUACCAAAAGUAGUCUUCUGCGUUUUUUUUCUAUGGCCCAGACACAUCUCAAAGAUGAGGUAGAGAUAAAAGAAAGUCUUUUUUUUUUUUUUUUACCAUGCAGUCAAAGUCCUCCAGACCGCAUGGUCCUGAUUUACAGAGUAGUGUUUCACAUAAAGCUACUUUUAUAGCGUGGAGUGUGGACACUUAAACCAACUGAAAAUCCUGAGCAGUUCUAAAACGACCCAUUUCCUUUAGAUUGAUUGAUUAGAGAUGUAUUUAAAUAUCUUGCAUAAUUUCACACAAUUUUAAACAGCUCAUGUGUUGCUUUUUUAGAAUCUCUUCUCUGCUAGUCACCCUUCACACCUUUUAAUUUAUAAUUAAAGCAAAGCUUGACACAUAUUUUAUUCAUGUUCACCAGUCCAGGGCAAAAUAUGGGCACCCAUAGAGUAGUGUAUUUUUUACUUUUUUUUUUUUUUUUUGUCAAAGUGACACAUUUUUAAUUGUGAAACUAUGGUCUUAAUAUAUGUUAGCACAGUGUAUGUUUUGUAAUUAACUAUAUAUUUUGUAUGUUGCCACUUUAUAUAAAAUGAUUCUUGCUUCUGCUCUCAAUAUUAUUGGAUCGGAAUACAGCCAUUAUAGACAUUCAUGAUUAUUAUUACAGUAUCUUUUAUUCAGUUUUGUUCAAGUACUUUUUAGUCAGUAUAUUCAACAUGACGUAUCAGGUUUCAAGUAGACAUAAAUGCUUUGUUCCGCACUCAGUAAAGGGAACAUAAAAGACUUUCACGAACAUUUCUGUGCAUAUAAUGCUCGCUUGAUUUUGCCAUUUAUCAUUUUGAAACUGUGUUCAGUAUGUAAAAGGACAGAUGGCUCUAAGCCAUUACUUCGGACCAAUAAAUGUUUUUUUUUCUUUCUUUUUGUUAUUGUUUUCACCCUUCAGCACUUCAUUUAGAGUAGAAUACUAGAUAUUGUCAACAGUGUAAUUGGACUGUAAGUAUGUGCUGGUGGGCAAACAGUCAUUGGCUUCUUGAAUCAGCAGGUCUCAUUGGUUAAUGGUUGUGACUGACUGGCGUAUGUGUUUGUGGCUUGUGUUGUGUUGUUGGGGUCCCCCCCCCCCCCCCCCCCCCCCCCCCCCAUUUAGUAUUUUGGUUCAUGUUUUAAAAUGUGAAAACUUCUGAGUUUUGGUCUUUGACAAUCAAUUACAAGACAGUGUUGUAUUCUAUAUGCUCCAUAAUGAACCUUGACUGUAUUGGGGUAAUUCUUUACAAAUCAUGCCAACUUUUAAUUCUUUACCUUUUUAACACUAACCAUUUAUUGUAACCAAGUUUCACACAGGGCAUCUUUUUAAAUAUUGUAUCAUUGUCUCAAAACAGCAAUAAAGAGAUCAGUGUUUAAA
This is an RNA transcript of Neoarius graeffei (lesser salmon catfish), 3425 nucleotides long. It is a transcript of the gene named caldesmon 1a, with no coding region annotated. Lineage: Eukaryota; Metazoa; Chordata; Actinopteri; Siluriformes; Ariidae. The record is from RefSeq and is a predicted model, not a curated record. The transcript is spliced from 17 exons.